This 463-nucleotide ribosomal RNA is filed under the name uncultured bacterium. RNAcentral describes it as "partial 16S ribosomal RNA". It matches the Rfam family "Bacterial small subunit ribosomal RNA", at positions 36 to 507 of the family's 1533-position model. The record is from RNAcentral.
UCCUCCCUCUUUCUUCGUGCUUAACACAUGCAAGUCGAACGGAAAGGCCUUUUCGGAGGUACUCGAGUGGCGAACGGGUGAGUAACACGUGGGUGAUCUGCUCUGCACUCUGGGAUAAGCCUGGGAAACUGGGUCUAAUACCGGAUAGGACCGCACUUUAGUGUGUGUGGUGGAAAGUUUUUUCGGUGUAGGAUGAGCCCGCGGCCUAUCAGCUUGUUGGUGGGGUAAUGGCCUACCAAGGCGGCGACGGGUCGCCGGACUGAGAGGUUGGUCGGCCACAUUGGGACUGAGAUACGGCCCAGACUCCUACGGGAGGCAGCAGUGGGGAAUAUUGCACAAUGGGCGCAAGCCUGAUGCAGCGACGCCGCGUGGGGGAUGACGGCCUUCGGGUUGUAAACUCCUUUCGCCAGGGACGAAGCGUUUUGUGACGGUACCUGGAGAAGAAGCACCGGCUAACUACGUG